This 305-nucleotide ribosomal RNA is filed under the name uncultured bacterium. RNAcentral's name for it is "bacterial SSU rRNA". It matches the Rfam family "Bacterial small subunit ribosomal RNA", at positions 335 to 658 of the family's 1533-position model. The record is from RNAcentral.
UUUCCUACGGGAGGCAGCAGUGGGGAAUAUUGCACAAUGGGGGAAACCCUGAUGCAGCAACGCCGCGUGAGUGAUGACGGCCUUCGGGUUGUAAAGCUCUGUCUUCAGGGACGGUAAUGACGGUACCUGAGGAGGAAGCCACGGCUAACUACGUGCCAGCAGCCGCGGUAAUACGUAGGUGGCGAGCGUUGUCCGGAUUUACUGGGCGUAAAGGGAGCGUAGGCGGACUUUUAAGUCAGCGGUAAAAAUUCGGGGCUCAACCCCGUCCGGCCGUUGAAACUGGGGGCCUUGAGUGGGCGAGAAGA